This is a long non-coding RNA of Ictidomys tridecemlineatus (thirteen-lined ground squirrel), 1933 nucleotides long. RefSeq lists it as uncharacterized. The record is from RefSeq and is a predicted model, not a curated record. NCBI's taxonomy places the organism in Eukaryota, Metazoa, Chordata, Mammalia, Rodentia, Sciuridae.
UGGGGUGACUCCCUCUUGGGGAUGCCCUUGCAGGCUUCCCCGCUGUCUACCGGGAGCAGGGCGAGUUGCAGGGGCUCAGGUUACCAUCACGAGCCCCAUCAGGCUGGCCCGGGGCUGCCACCUCUUCCAAGAAGCUGGCUUUUGAGGAAUCUGUUGGCCUGGGAAUCAUGACAUGCGCCUGGCUUGGUGCUGAGCAAACGUGCACCUAACACCCCGGAGGACACUCUCUUCCUCACAGCAUGUUCUCGCGUUUAUGGGCAUCAGGUGGUGUGCAGAGGGCUCCACACCCAGAUGUUCGCACCCUGUGAGGUCAGCUGAGAAACAAGAGCCGCCACCACCCGGCUGGCUGCCACUGCCCCUCUUCCUAGGAGCUGCAGGCCCAGCCUCCUCUACCCCAGACCAGAACAUUCUGCUGCCAGCAGAAACACACAUGGAGCCGGUGCUGCCACCCCACCCCUGCCGUCAACACACUCCCACAUGCUGUUUGCCGCUGUCAAAGCUGUGCUCACGCACACAUUCUCAGCAGACCCUGCCAGCACAGCUGUCCCCGUGGCCCAGGCUCCAUCUCAGCACAUGCGUGUCCUCUGUGGGGGUUUCUCAACGCACCCAAAGCACUUGUGGACCCGGCCUGCACACGCUCUUCCCUCUGACCUGGGUAGGCUACUGUGUGACCUUGGGCAAUCAGCUCAACCUCUCUGGGCAUCAGAGGCCUCACUGUAGAACAGGGAUAAUGAUUACCUCCAGAAGGUAAUUACAUGUCGCCUCCUUCAGGGCUUUAUAGCCUCUCUGAGGGCUUUUCCCACAGGGUCCGAGGCUUAGGUGAGAGAGCAGGCACCCAGCGCGGGUUCAGUCACAGAGCUGUGAAGGUGGCGGUGAGGGUGGACUGGCCAUCGGUUUUCUGUCCAUCACCUGGCUGUCAGCACUGCCUCACGGCCACAGCUUGAGCCGGACACCCCACCUGCCCUCUCCCCUAUCAGUGCAGUGGGUCCAACAACCCUCAGCCUGCGGUGAAAGGCCCAGGGAGACACUGCCAUGGUGUCUGGGAGUUCUGUCUGUCCUGCCACAGCUGCACAGGGAAGGAAGGCAACAGCUGAACCCGGGCACUUGUAGCCACUUCUAGCUUCCUGCUGUCCCAGGUCAGCGGCCGAGUCCAUGUUUCUGGACUGACUGGGUUAUGCAGCUGCCAUCCCACCACGAGGCCGCACUGCCAUCUCAGCCACACCCAGGACCUGGCCACGCUGUGACCACCCCUUCCCUCAGGCACAGGGCCUCUUCCCAGCAGGACCCCUCCGCCGCGGUGAUGGCCUGACCCUUUGCUCCCUGCUUCCCCUCACUGGACAGGGCUCCCGUCCCACUCCCCAGUCCCUUCCAGGACUCUGCCUAGCAGUAGCCCUCCCGCAUUGUCCCCAACGUGCCUUCCCUUUGGCCAGCAAAAUAGGGCUGGUCUUUUCUAUUCUGGGAAGCAGAGAGGUAGCCUCAGCAGGGUCAGAAAACCAGUGUGAUUUGAGGAUUGAGAGACGUCUGGUCUGAGCAGGAGAGUGGGCUGCCACCGAGCAGCAGGGCCAGCGGCUGAGCACCAAUCAGGCCAUUCCCACGAGCGCCUACUGCCUGAGGCCUGGUGGAGCUACGUGGCAUGGCUGGCAGGACCAGGCUGGUCUCUGCCCAAAGUCGUGGUUUCCUCCUUUUCCAUCCUAGAAGGAAUUCCAAGCUCUGGCCACCACUGGGAGCCCACUGGAGGUCUAUCUGUUGGCUCAAGAAAACUGUGGUCAAUUGACUGCCCUGCUCCUUGGGGACCUUGACCAAGAAUAAUGUGGAAACCCACCGACCCUGUGUCUGAAGUCCCCAGAAUUAUAAAAUAUGUUAGUUAAUAAGCUGUCGUGUAAAAUAAGUUUGGUCGUCCACCUUCCCCAAUACACCUUCAGAAUGACCUGGA